This 359-nucleotide unclassified non-coding RNA is filed under the name Hevea brasiliensis (rubber tree). The record is from RNAcentral. Lineage: Eukaryota; Viridiplantae; Streptophyta; Magnoliopsida; Malpighiales; Euphorbiaceae.
CCGGUGCUGCCGUCGGUUACGGCGGAGGAUCAGGAGGGAGCGCUGGCGGCGGCGGCGGAUGUCUGCGGGUUUCUGGUUGGUAGCUCACCGAUGCGGCUGGGGAAGGUGCUUGCGGAGGUUGGGCGGGUGUUGCCGGGGCAUGAGUUUGCUUCGGUUAGAGCAGGAGUUGAGAUGGCACUAAUUGAUGCAGUUGCUAAUAGCAUCUGUGUACCUCUUUGGAGACUAUUUGGAGGGGUGGCAAAUACGAUUACAACAGACAUAACAAUUCCAAUUGUGUCUCCAAAUGAAGCUGGUGAUUUGGCUGCAAAAUAUUAUAAACGAGGGUUUAGCACUUUGAAGCUUAAGGUGGGGAAAAACCU